This 408-nucleotide ribosomal RNA is filed under the name Rhodovulum sp. S151. RNAcentral describes it as "bacterial SSU rRNA". It matches the Rfam family "Bacterial small subunit ribosomal RNA", at positions 29 to 482 of the family's 1533-position model. Lineage: Bacteria; Pseudomonadati; Pseudomonadota; Alphaproteobacteria; Rhodobacterales; Paracoccaceae. The record is from RNAcentral.
AACGAACGCUGGCGGCAGGCCUAACACAUGCAAGUCGAGCGAACCCUUCGGGGUUAGCGGCGGACGGGUGAGUAACGCGUGGGAACGUGCCCUUCUCUGCGGAAUAGGCUCGGGAAACUGGGUUUAAUACCGCAUACGCCCUUCGGGGGAAAGAUUUAUCGGAGAAGGAUCGGCCCGCGUUAGAUUAGGUAGUUGGUGGGGUAAUGGCCUACCAAGCCUACGAUCUAUAGCUGGUUUGAGAGGAUGAUCAGCCACACUGGGACUGAGACACGGCCCAGACUCCUACGGGAGGCAGCAGUGAGGAAUCUUGGACAAUGGGGGGAACCCUGAUCCAGCCAUGCCGCGUGAGCGAUGAAGGCCUUAGGGUUGUAAAGCUCUUUCAGUCGUGAAGAUAAUGACGGUAGCGAC